AUUGCUUCUUCGGCACAAGGCCGUCCGAAAUUCGAAGUUUAAACAUUAAAACGUAGAUUAUGUUUAACUCGUAGAAUAUAACAUGGUAUCAGCAAAUUGUGCUACGGAGAGUUCACAGAAGUCCGCUGAGUAAUGGAUUUAUUCACUAUACUCGGCGCGGAUCGCGUUCAUGUUAUAGCGUCGACCAUUGUUAGGUAUCGUUCAAUUGCAGUCACUACAUUAAAUACUUAGCCGGUGUUUUAAUCAAUAUCGAUUUGAUAAAAUGUAAUUCGGUGACAGUAAUCAUCACAAAUGUCGUCAAACAUGGAGGAAAGAAUGGGAUACGUACCAAUCACACAUCAUUUUUCUUGAAUAUUCAAAUAAUAUAGGGUUUUUAUUUUUAUGUAUGUUUAAUUUUAAUUCCUAUUUUCGAAUAUACAAAUGUAGUG
Molecule: non-coding RNA, 428 nt
Organism: Cinara cedri
Lineage: Eukaryota; Metazoa; Arthropoda; Insecta; Hemiptera; Aphididae
Source: the annotation of a GenBank genome assembly